AACGGGCAUAGCAAUAUGUCAGUGGCAAACGGGUGAGUAAUAUAUAGGAAUCUACCUAGCAGUAAGGAAUAACCCUGAGAAAUCAGAGCUAAUGCCAUAUAUUACCGGUUAGCAAUAACCGGGAAAGAUUUAUCGCUGUUAGAUGAGCCUGUAUCCCAUUAGCUAGUUGGUAGGGUAAUGGCCUACCAAGGCUAUGAUGGGUAGCUGGUCUGAGAGGAUGAUCAGCCACACUGGAACUGCGACACGGUCCAGACUCC
Molecule: ribosomal RNA, 257 nt
Filed under: unidentified marine bacterioplankton
Lineage: Bacteria
Also listed under: 1 other name
Description: partial 16S ribosomal RNA
Rfam family: Bacterial small subunit ribosomal RNA
Source: RNAcentral